GAUGAACGCUGGCGGCGUGCCUAAUACAUGCAAGUCGAGCGAACAGACGAGGAGCUUGCUCCUCUGACGUUAGCGGCGGACGGGUGAGUAACACGUGGAUAACCUACCUAUAAGACUGGGAUAACUUCGGGAAACCGGAGCUAAUACCGGAUAACAUGUUGAACCGCAUGGUUCAACAGUGAAAGACGGUCUUGCUGUCGCUUAUAGAUGGAUCCGCGCCGCAUUAGCUAGUUGGUAAGGUAACGGCUUACCAGGGAAACGAUGCGUAGCCGACCUGAGAGGGGGUUGCCCCCCCCGGGACCUGACCACCGUCCCAGCCCCUGAGGGACGGCGCCGACGGGUACUCUUCCGAACGGGGCGAAAGCCUGCCGAAGCAGCGCCGGGUGGUUGAAGAGGGUCUUCGGUUCGUAAAACUCUGUUAUUGGGGAAGACCAAUUUUGUAGUAACUAUGCACGUCUUGACGGUACCUAAUCAGAAAGCCACGGCUAACUACGUG
RNAcentral lists this ribosomal RNA (496 nucleotides) under uncultured bacterium. Its description in RNAcentral is "partial 16S ribosomal RNA". It matches the Rfam family "Bacterial small subunit ribosomal RNA", at positions 28 to 507 of the family's 1533-position model. The record is from RNAcentral.